CAACGACACAACACUACAAUGUAACACACACAGAAACGGACCAAGCAACAGACAAAAUCCCACGAGAAUAACAAAUAUAACAUCAAAACCAAAUACAUGAAUUUGGGAUAGACAAGUACCGUGACACGUCUUAUCGCAAUGUGAAUUAACACUAAAAAAUAAGAGAAAACAAACGACGCAACGUUAAAAUGUAACACAUACAGA
Molecule: long non-coding RNA, 204 nt
Filed under: Mytilus galloprovincialis (Mediterranean mussel)
Lineage: Eukaryota; Metazoa; Mollusca; Bivalvia; Mytilida; Mytilidae
Source: RNAcentral